GGACAGCCUACAUGCUUCACUCGAUGCUCUGAUCCUGCAAACUCUGGACAGCGUGCUGGAGGUGCUGAUGCGUGGUGCUUCGCCGAGGUCCGGCAUCCUGACAGCGGAGAAAAUCUUGCAGGUCCUGCUGCCCUUCACGGCAUCCCUGGACGUUACUGUGCGCCGGAGGGCUGUGGGGAGGAUUGUCAU
Gavia stellata (red-throated loon) is the source of this 189-nucleotide long non-coding RNA. RefSeq lists it as uncharacterized. Lineage: Eukaryota; Metazoa; Chordata; Aves; Gaviiformes; Gaviidae. The record is from RefSeq and is a predicted model, not a curated record. The transcript has 3 exons.